ACGAAAGAAGCAUAGUGGAAGCGAGGCAUUAGUUACUUAACUGCUCACUUCCUCCUUUCCUAGACCCCGGUAGUGUAGCGGUAAAACGGAACGGGAACUUCCGCGCCUGCUGGAGUCCAGUGUUUGCUGUUCCGCAAGGUACUACCCUGUAGAAGUUUCAUCAACAGCAUCGGUGAUCGAACAGCAGCGAGCGUCAUGUCGUCCUUCAAGGUGCGACCGGCGCGACGGGAAGACGCCGAGGUCGUGCUGGCCAUGAUGGUCGAGCUGAACGACUUCCAGGAACUGCCGCCGCCGCUGAUCACCCUGGACGGACUGCGGCGGGACGUGUUCGACAACGAGCGGCCUUACGUCAGCGUCAACCUGGCCGUCUCGCCUUCGUCAGACGGUAACGGCGAAGUCGGUCGUGGGCCAGGUAAUCUUCUUCGUCAUAUUCGACGCCGUGUUGCUGCAGAAGCUGGUCUACAUCGAGGACAUCUACGUGCGUCCCGAGUACCGCCGCCGGGGUGUCGGCCUCGCCCUCUGGAAGUCGGCGGCCGAGCAGGGAGUGCUUCGCGACUGCGACGGAUUGCGCCUCGAGGUACUCGGCACCAACAAGGAGGCCGUGGACUUCUACGCGAAGCGAGGCGCCAGGGAUCUCGGUCCCGUCUGCGGUUUCCAGCACUUCAAGCUCGUCUGGGACGCCUCCUCCGAUGGCAUAAAGGCGUGAUGGUGGCGCGACACUUUCCCACGUGCUUGCAGCGCGCCACUCGACACUCGCGAAGGCAGCCGCUUUUCUCUUUCCUUCCGUGGUGGUGGUGGCUGAAAAACAUUUAUUUAUGGAAGUCAAGUACAGGGAGGGUGACGAGUGGUCCUUGAAAAGCGUAAGUGUCUCUCUCCCUUGCUAAGGUGAAGGCUUGGGCAAAUUGGUUCACUCAUACAGCACUCUGUCCUGUAUUCUCCUGUUUCUUCCCUGUCGUUCUCGUGCUGUAUUUUUAUAAUGUUUUUUUUUCUCGCGCCGACCAAAUCGCUCCCUGCACUUUUCUCGCCGCUGUCGCCGGUUGCCCGUCCAAGCAAACCACCAAUCAGAGCCUGCUUUUUCCCCCUUUUUCUUCUCACAUCGGCGGAUAGCAACCGGACAUUUUUUUUUUUUUCCACGCCACCUCUCUCCAUCGGUCGGGGUCAAGUCACGAGCCAGCGGGAGCAUGCGCCUUGAUACCUCCACGCUUGUCAUAAUUCCCGCGCCGUCAAUGUGAACAGCUGGCCGCUGCUUGCCAAGCCGAGGCGCCGACGGGCGGCACGCCGCCGUGACAUGCAAUUCCGCCAGUGUGCACGCACCUUUACGAUUGAGACGGCACGCGGCGAAUCAUUUCCGGCCGCACUGCGUCAAGAACGAAAAACGGUGUCCUUUGAACAGCGUUCUGCAACGCUUUCAAUUCAAUUCCAAGAACAGCUGUGCAAUAACGCGUUCUCCCUCGAGGCUCACUCUAUUCGAACCAUAGUGAAGGAAACAACAACAUAGGUUUGUUUCCUGAAAGCAAUACUCUGCCAAUACUCAAACCCUCCACCUGAAGACCACAUUGUGCCUGUAUACUUUGUUAACGUUAGAGUGCUUCUCAAGUACAAUGUCUUACCAUUGCGGAAGACCUGUCCCGUGGCAUCAAGGCAUCGCGUGCUUUUGAGAGUUAUAUGCUGAAGUGAAUUAGCCUCAAGGCUAUAUCUUUAAUAAGCGUUACACCGAUUGUUCAAGACAUUUCACCUGAAGACUGUACCGUGCCUUUAAAUUGCACUGUAAGCGGAAAACGGUGUUAUGCAAAGGCGGAUUCCUGCUCAUGCGUGAAUGUUAAUUAGCGGCAUGGAGAUUUCUGUGUAUUACACAUAGCGCUGUCCUUGUCAACGUUUUUUUCGCAGAUUUUUGUAGAGAUGCAAUACCUUGUCGGUCAAGAAGCCACUCUUCUGAAAUAACGAGGACCACUUGCCCGAGAAGUUUUGUACCAAGACAGAAGACCUGUACCUGAUCAAGCAACUGGUGCCCAGACUACGUAACGCAACCUGAAGAGUAUAUUUAUCUAAACUUCGUUGUGUAAAUCGUUCAGCAGUUCUAGCUGAAGUCUAGCCGGCUUAUACACGAGUCAUGUCUAGAUACUGUGCCUUAGUCAUGACUCAAAUGAGAAUGCAUACUGCGGUCAUUCUGCAGGGCGAUGACACGUUCGUGCACAUAAAAGACGGAGUAAAGGCUAUGCCACA
Molecule: long non-coding RNA, 2223 nt
Filed under: Rhipicephalus microplus (southern cattle tick)
Lineage: Eukaryota; Metazoa; Arthropoda; Arachnida; Ixodida; Ixodidae
Description: uncharacterized LOC119175504
Source: RNAcentral